UGCUUUUUGAAAAUAUAAAAAGUAUUACCUGCCCACUGAUUUCUUUAAAUGGCCGCAGUAUAUUGACUGUGCAAAGGUAGCAUAAUCAUUUGCUUUAUAAAUUAAAGCUUGUAUGAAUGGUAUAAUGUAAAUAUAACUGUCUUUUAUAUAAAAAUAAAACUUAUCUUUUCAGUGAAGAGACUAAAUAUAUUUAGAAAGACGAGAAGACCCUAAUGAGUUUUAUAUUAAUUUUAUUAAAAUAAAAUAAUUAUUUUAUUGGGGCGAUUAAAGAAUAUAUCUUCUUUUAAAACUUUAAAAGAACUAUUAAUGAUUCAUUAUUAAUGAAAAAAGGUUUAAAUUACCAUAGGGGUAACAGCAUAAUCUUUUUUAAAAGUACAUAUCGACAAAAAGGAUUAUGACCUCGAUGUUGGGUUAAGAUAAUUAUAUAGUGCAGACACUAUAUUAAUAAGUCUGUUCGACUUUUAAAGUCUUACA
RNAcentral lists this ribosomal RNA (474 nucleotides) under Euperipatoides rowelli. Its description in RNAcentral is "partial 16S ribosomal RNA". It matches the Rfam family "Bacterial large subunit ribosomal RNA", at positions 1816 to 2600 of the family's 2925-position model. Lineage: Eukaryota; Metazoa; Onychophora; Udeonychophora; Euonychophora; Peripatopsidae. The record is from RNAcentral.